Molecule: ribosomal RNA, 467 nt
Filed under: uncultured bacterium
Lineage: Bacteria
Description: partial 16S ribosomal RNA
Rfam family: Bacterial small subunit ribosomal RNA
Source: RNAcentral
GACGAACGCUGGCGGCGUGCUUAACACAUGCAAGUCGAACGGAAAGGCCCUGCUUUUGUGGGGUGCUCGAGUGGCGAACGGGUGAGUAACACGUGAGUAACCUGCCCUUGACUUUGGGAUAACUUCAGGAAACUGGGGCUAAUACCGGAUAGGAGCUCCUGCUGCAUGGUGGUGGUUGGAAAGUUUCGGCGGUUGGGGCUGGACUCGCGGCUUAUCAGCUUGUUGGUGGGGUAGUGGCUUACCAAGGCUUUGACGGGUAGCCGGCCUGAGAGGGUGACCGGGCACAUUGGGACUGGGAUACGGCCCAGAGGCCUACGGGAGGCAGCAGUGGGGAAUAUUGCACAAUGGGCGGAAGCAGGAAGCAGCAACGCCGCGUGGGGGAUGACGGCCUUCGGGUUGUAAAACGCUUUCGCCUGUGACGAAGCGUGAGUGACGGUAAUGGGUAAAGAAGCACCGGCUAACUACGU